Molecule: long non-coding RNA, 1306 nt
Filed under: Zonotrichia albicollis (white-throated sparrow)
Lineage: Eukaryota; Metazoa; Chordata; Aves; Passeriformes; Passerellidae
Description: lncRNA (ENSZALG00000000711.1)
Source: RNAcentral
CCCAAAUCCAGUUCUGAAUCCAAUCCCAAACCCAAAUCCAGUCCCAAACUCAAUCCCAUAUCCAACCCUGAAUCCAAUCCCAGCUCCAAUCCCUGAAUCCAAUCCCAAAUCCAAUUUGAAAUCAAAUCCCAGAUCCAAUCCCAAACCCAGUCCCGAAUCCAUUUCCGAACCCAAUCACAAACCCAGCUCUGAAUCCAAUCUUGAACCCAACCCGGAAUCCAAUCCCAAAUCCAAUCCCAAAUCCAGUUCUGAAUCCAUUCCCAAACCCAGUCGUGUAUCCAAUCCCAAAUCCAAUCCCAGAUUGCAUCUAAAAUCCAUUCCCAGAUUCAAUCCUGAAUCCAGUCCCAAAUCCAAUCCCAAAUCAAAUGCAAAUCUGAUCCUAAAUCCAAUCCCAACUCCGAUCCCAAACCCAUUCCUGGAUUUCUUUCUGAACCCAAUCUCAAACCCAAUCCUGAAUCCAAUCCCAAAUCGAAUGCAAAUCCAAAUCCAUUUCCAGACCCAAUUUUGAACCAAAUCCCAAAGUCAGUCCCAGAUCCAAUCCCAAAUCCUGUCCCAGAUUCAGUCCUGAAUCCAAUCCCAAAUCCAGCCCCAGAUCCAAUCCUGAAUCCAAUCCCAACUCCAAUCCCAAACCCAGUCCUGAAUCUAAUUUUGAACCAAAUCCUGAAGUCAAUCCCAAAUCCAGUCCCUGAUCCAAUCCCGAAUCCAGUCCCAGAUUCAAUACUGAAUCUAAUCCCAAAUCCAACGCCAGAUCCCAUCCCAAAUCCAAUUCCGAACCCAAUUCUGAACCGAAACCCAAUUCCGAACCCAAUCUCAAAUCCAAUUCCAAACCCAAUCCCAAAUCCAAUCCCAGACCCAACCCCAGAUCCAAUCCCAAACUGAAUCUGAAUCCAACACCAGAUCCAAUCCCAAAUCCAGUCCCGAACCCAAUUCUGAACCAAAACCCAAUUCUGAACCCAAUCCCAAACCCAAUCCCAGAUCCAACCCCAGAUCCAAUUCCAAACCCAAUCCCAAAUCCGACCCCAGGUUGAAUCCCAAAUCCAGUCCCAAGCCCAAUCCCAAACUGAAUCUGAAUCCAAGCCCUGAUCCAAUUCCAGACCCAAUCUUGAACGCAAUCCCAAAUCCAGCCCCAGAACCCACUUGAUCCCAAACUCCCGAUCCCAAACUCCCGAUCCCAAUCCCCAUCCCAAACACCCAAUCCCGAUCCCAAACUCCCGAUCCCAAACUCCCAAUCCCAAACUCCCGAUCCCAAACUCCCAAUCCCAAACUCCCAAUCCCAAUCCCAAACUCCGAUCCCAAUCCCGAUCCC